Molecule: ribosomal RNA, 490 nt
Filed under: uncultured bacterium
Lineage: Bacteria
Description: partial 16S ribosomal RNA
Rfam family: Bacterial small subunit ribosomal RNA
Source: RNAcentral
AUUGAACGCUGGCGGCAGGCCUAACACAUGCAAGUCGAACGGUAACAGGAAACAGCUUGCUGUUUCGCUGACGAGUGGCGGACGGGUGAGUAAUGUCUGGGAAACUGCCUGAUGGAGGGGGAUAACUACUGGAAACGGUAGCUAAUACCGCAUAACGUCGCAAGACCAAAGAGGGGGACCUUCGGGCCUCCUGCCAUCGGAUGUGCCCAGAUGGGAUUAGCUAGUAGGUGGGGUAACGGCUCACCUAGGCGACGAUCCCUAGCUGGUCUGAGAGGAUGACCAGCCACACUGGAACUGAGACACGGUCCAGACUCCUACGGGAGGCAGCAGUGGGGAAUAUUGCACAAUGGGCGCAAGCCUGAUGCAGCCAUGCCGCGUGUAUGAAGAAGGCCUUCGGGUUGUAAAGUACUUUCAGCGGGGAUGAAGGGAGUAAAGUUAAUACCUUUGCUCAUUGACGUUACCCGCAGAAGAAGCACCGGCUAACUCCGUG